This 498-nucleotide ribosomal RNA is filed under the name uncultured bacterium. RNAcentral's name for it is "partial 16S ribosomal RNA". It matches the Rfam family "Bacterial small subunit ribosomal RNA", at positions 28 to 508 of the family's 1533-position model. The record is from RNAcentral.
GAUGAACGCUGGCGGCGUGCCUAAUACAUGCAAGUCGAGCGAACAGACGAGGAGCUUGCUCCUCUGAUGUUAGCGGCGGACGGGUGAGUAACACGUGGAUAACCUACCUAUAAGACUGGGAUAACUUCGGGAAACCGGAGCUAAUACCGGAUAACAUGUUGAACCGCAUGGUUCAACAGUGAAAGACGGUCUUGCUGUCACUUAUAGAUGGAUCCGCGCCGCAUUAGCUAGUUGGUAAGGUAACGGCUUACCAAGGCAACGAUGCGUAGCCGACCUGAGAGGGUGAUCGGCCACACUGGAACUGAGACACGGUCCAGACUCCUACGGGAGGCAGCAGUAGGGAAUCUUCCGCAAUGGGCGAAAGCCUGACGGAGCAACGCCGCGUGAGUGAAGAAGGUCUUCGGAUCGUAAAACUCUGUUAUUAGGGAAGAACAAAUGUGUAAGUAACUAUGCACGUCUUGACGGUACCUAAUCAGAAAGCCACGGCUAACUACGUGC